This 440-nucleotide ribosomal RNA is filed under the name uncultured bacterium. RNAcentral describes it as "partial 16S ribosomal RNA". It matches the Rfam family "Bacterial small subunit ribosomal RNA", at positions 338 to 795 of the family's 1533-position model. The record is from RNAcentral.
CCUACGGGAGGCAGCAGUGGGGAAUAUUGCACAAUGGGGGAAACCCUGAUGCAGCGACGCCGCGUGAGUGAAGAAGUAUUUCGGUAUGUAAAGCUCUAUCAGCAGGGAAGAAAAUGACGGUACCUGAUUAAGAAGCCCCGGCUAACUACGUGCCAGCAGCCGCGGUAAUACGUAGGGGGCAAGCGUUAUCCGGAUUUACUGGGUGUAAAGGGGGCGCAGACGGCAGCGCAAGUCUGGAGUGAAAUGCCGGGGCUUAACCCCGGGACUGCUUUGGAAACUGUGAAGCUAGAGUGCAGGAGGGGUAAGUGGAAUUCCUAGUGUAGCGGUGAAAUGCGUAGAUAUUAGGAGGAACACCAGUGGCGAAGGCGGCUUACUGGACUGUAACUGACGUUGAGGCUCGAAAGCGUGGGGAGCAAACAGGAUUAGAUACCCCUGUAGUC